This 368-nucleotide transfer-messenger RNA is filed under the name Cytophagales bacterium. It matches the Rfam family "transfer-messenger RNA". Rfam says of the family: Bacterial tmRNA, also known as 10Sa RNA or SsrA, is named for its dual tRNA and mRNA-like properties. Its role is to liberate the mRNA from a stalled ribosome. To accomplish this part of the tmRNA is used as a reading frame that ends in a translation stop signal. The record is from RNAcentral. Lineage: Bacteria; Pseudomonadati; Bacteroidota; Cytophagia; Cytophagales.
GGGGCCGUCCAGGAAUUGACGGUGGGUAGGGUUUCUGCUGGCAUGCAGGUCUUGGGUGAUAGACCUUAAAAAGACACUCAUAUAAAAAUAAGAGGCGAAUAUAAUUACGCUGUAGCUGCUUGAUCUAGGAUCAAGCAUGUUACUGUCCUGGAAGGCUAGAAUAUCCUGUGCUUCCUUCUGAUGGGCAUCGCAAAGACGGGAUAGGCUGAGCGAGCGGCAUCUUGUUGGGUCUUAUUUUUUCUGCCAAGAGGGAAAAUGUUUUGGAAUGUACUUCUUCCUAUUUUCCUUUAAUAUUUGGAGUACUAAGCAUGUAGAAAGCAUUUGCGUUGCCUGUCCGGACGAGGGUUCGAUUCCCUCCGGCUCCACAA